Molecule: long non-coding RNA, 1023 nt
Organism: Denticeps clupeoides (denticle herring)
Lineage: Eukaryota; Metazoa; Chordata; Actinopteri; Clupeiformes; Denticipitidae
Source: Ensembl
CGGACAAGUGAACGGACAUUCACCCCCUCUGGGCUCCUCAACAAGUUUAUUUCAGACUCUUCAAGGCAGUCCCGAAGGAGCGGUGCCGCACUCUGGGGGGGGCAAAAUCCAGAGGGACAAUGAGUGCGGGGGAGAGGAUAGCCGGCAGAACUUGAAUGCGGACCUGACCCGGGCUUCUCCUGUCUCUCGGAGGACGGCCUGCCUCCCUGUUUCUCCCGGCCUCUGUCCCAGCAUCUGCUCUGUGCAGUCAGACAGGUCCUGACUCAUGUGCAGAGCACCACCUGCUACUCUUCUGCUGCCAUCCUGGGGGGUGUAAUUCUGUGAAAACUCGCCUAGUACAGCAUCAAAGUUUCACAGAUUGUCAAGCUGUCCCACUCCCUGGAUCCUCACCUUUCUCCUUCAGACACUUCUUGGCCUCCCCAGUCUUCUGAGGGUCCCUGGGGGCCCCGGACCGCCCAUGGGGUACAGGCGGAAGAGUCCGGGGCCCUGAAUGAAAAUGAGAAACCCCUCCAUACCCUGGGGGGCAGCACUCAGUCCACAGUUUUAUCCCACGAUGUGUCCACCCUUACAGACCUGUGCUACAGUUCGGACCUGCCAGAGGUGGAAGUUGUUAGCUUGCUGUCGGAGGAGCUACCCAGAUACACUCUGCGGGCAGACUGCGUGUUUGGGUAUGACCAUGAUGACUGGCUGCACACGCCUCUUCUCCCUCCGGAGGGAGUGCUGGGACUCACACCUGAGUUAAUCGAAGAAACUCUCAAGUACUUCCGUAAGUGAUUCUUCUCUCUCAUCAAUCGUUUUUUUUCUAAUUUCCCCAGCGAAAUCAACACAAAACGCUGAAUUUCAUUUUUUUAACCACAUUCUGAUCUCAUGUCGGAAGGUUGGUAGCUAAUAUUCCAAUAAACAAAAACUCAUCUGCCCUCAUUUACUAGUCAAAUGUUUGCACACACCUACUCAUUUAUGGGUCUUGCAUUUUUUACGAAUGUAAAAAACCACAGGGCCAUGAAAUAACAUGUAAGGUUUUGU